GACGGAGGGUGCAAGCGUUGUUCGGCCUCACAGGGCGUAAAGCGCGUGUGGGCGGUUUGUUAAGUCGAAUGUGAAAGCCGAGGCUCAACCUCGGAAGUGCAUUCGAAACUGUCAGGCUUGAGUACGGGAGAGGGAAGUGGAAUUCCUGGUGUAGAGGUGAAAUUCGUAGAUAUCAGGAGGAACACCGGUGGCGAAGGCGGCUUCCUGGACCGAUACUGACGCUGAGACGCGAAAGUGUGGGUAGCAAACGGG
This 252-nucleotide ribosomal RNA is filed under the name uncultured bacterium. RNAcentral describes it as "partial 16S ribosomal RNA". It matches the Rfam family "Bacterial small subunit ribosomal RNA", at positions 524 to 776 of the family's 1533-position model. The record is from RNAcentral.